AGUACUAUACUACCAAAUAGUUACAUCUAUUCUGUAGCAAUAAAAGUUAUAAAAUUCUGUCUAUUAUUAAUUUUAAUAUUAAAAAGUGUAUCGUUUAACUCUUAGCCAUUAUUUACAAUUUAAUUGUUAAUUAUGCCUAAAAAAACGAAUUAACAACUUUGGUAUUGUUUGGAAGGUAAACAGCUUAAUUCCUUUAUGUAAAGCCACCUUAACAUGUUUUUGCAUAAUUCUGACUCACCUUGGUUGCUAUCGGGCUUAAGCCAUAAAAAUCGAAGAAAAAAAGAAGAAGACGAAGAGACUUUCACUUGUCUUAUCAAUGUCACUUUCCGGCCCACAAGCAUAAACGCCACCGGCAACGGAAGUUCCCAAAAUCCAAACAAAUGUUGGAAGAUAUUUUUAAGUCUCCGCAUCUUUCUUACUUUCCUAUAUGAAAAUAAAAUUGGACUACACCAACAAAGGUUAUGUGUUUUGCACGAGAUUGAAAGCAUCAUAGCGAAAAACGGACCUGUCAUAUCUUUAAAUUUUCAAAAGAGCCCCUGGAAAAAGAAAAAUGAAUAUCUUUGCCAAGGAAUAGGUACUAAGGCAAAUGGAUAAAAAACCUUCAGUCCAUGCAUUGGUAUGUAAUUGUUGACAAAAAUACAAUGAAUGGCCUCACUACUUUUCCACAUGCAAAGAGGUUAACCAAGGAGAAAUUAAAGAAAUUGUCAAAAACCUAGGUAAAUACAGAAUUGGGUUCUAGUCGACUUUAGGUAUCUCCGAAUUUUAACAUUUUUGAAUAUGAAAUAGAAAGCUAAUCUUCUUUGGACUAUUUUAAGCAGAAAAAAUUGGAGGAUGAAUAACAUUUUCUUUAAUAAAAUAAUAAAAACAAAAAAAAUCAUGACAAUGUGUACCUAUGUACGAUAUAAACUCGUUUUCGAACAUUCGCCGCAAGCGCUUUAUGGCUUAAUGGUAAUGAGAGUGAACUAUGAGCCGGUCGGCCUGGGUUCAGAUUUCAAGUCUGCCAGUUUUACUUUUUUAUUUUUUUUGCUACUAAGAAUUUUGUAGUUUUGGAAAAAUUAUUUAAUUUAAAUUAAAUUAUACAUAAAACAUGACCAAAAAGCCGAAAUUGUUUAUAUAACAUAAAAAAAAAAGAUUUUACCUUUUAUGGUAAUUAUAAGUCCCUUUAUUUUCGUGUAAGAAAACAUACCGAAGACACCCAUAAUGUAUUAUUUAUUGUUUUGGUACUUUUUAGAUUUCGAUCCUAAUUAAAAAUAAAAUGAAAUAUAGGCAUAUUCUAUUUAAAAUUGAGUCUAAAGAAUAUUUAUUUUUCAUAUAAAUAACAAAAACAAAAUUCCCUUCCACCUUCCUUCAUUAUUCUUUUUUAUUGACGUUUCACAUAACGCCGCGAGGUGACAGCGUUGCCAUACAUGUUCUUUGAUUAAAGAAUUUUUUAUUUCUUCUAUGAUUCUAAUGAAUGUUUUUAGUGUUUUGGGCUCGGUUGAAUUGCAUUGGGUUGAUUUUGGGUUAGCACACGGGGGGCAUAAGCCCCCCGUGUGCCUCGGUGUUGGGUUGGGCUGGGAUGAGAUGAGAUGAGGC
Molecule: long non-coding RNA, 1575 nt
Filed under: Anthonomus grandis grandis
Lineage: Eukaryota; Metazoa; Arthropoda; Insecta; Coleoptera; Curculionidae
Description: uncharacterized LOC126749707
Source: RNAcentral